UCGAGUGCCGGGCGCAAGCCCGUACCCGCACCCAGUGUCGACCGUCCCCGUUGCUUCGGCGCGCCGUCCCCGGGCGGCCGCCGAAGGACCCAACCAAACGCAUGGCAAACCGGUCCGUCCGAGGAUACGCGAAUCAGUCA
RNAcentral lists this unclassified non-coding RNA (140 nucleotides) under uncultured Dothideomycetes. RNAcentral describes it as "sequence contains ITS1". Lineage: Eukaryota; Fungi; Ascomycota; Dothideomycetes. The record is from RNAcentral.